CCUACGGGAGGCAGCAGUGAGGAAUAUUGGUCAAUGGACGAGAGUCUGAACCAGCCAAGUAGCGUGAAGGAUGACUGCCCUAUGGGUUGUAAACUUCUUUUAUAUGGGAAUAAAACGUUCCACGUGUGGGAUUUUGUAUGUACCAUAUGCAUAAGGAUCGGCUAACUCCGUGCCAGCAGCCACGGUAAUACGGAGGAUCCGAGCGUUAUCCGGAUUUAUUGGGUUUAAAGGGAGCGUAGGUGGAUUGUUAAGUCAGUUGUGAAAGUUUGCGGCUCAACCGUAAAAUUGCAGUUGAAACUGGCAGUCUUGAGUACAGUAGAGGUGGGCGGAAUUCGUGGUGUAGCGGUGAAAUGCUUAGAUAUCACGAAGAACUCCGAUUGCGAAGGCAGUUCACUGGACUGCAACUGACACUGAGGCUCGAAAGUGUGGGUAUCAAACAGGAUUAGAUACCCCAGUAGUC
This 460-nucleotide ribosomal RNA is filed under the name uncultured bacterium. RNAcentral describes it as "partial 16S ribosomal RNA". It matches the Rfam family "Bacterial small subunit ribosomal RNA", at positions 338 to 795 of the family's 1533-position model. The record is from RNAcentral.